This 494-nucleotide ribosomal RNA is filed under the name uncultured bacterium. Its description in RNAcentral is "partial 16S ribosomal RNA". It matches the Rfam family "Bacterial small subunit ribosomal RNA", at positions 28 to 507 of the family's 1533-position model. The record is from RNAcentral.
GACGAACGCUGGCGGCGUGCUUAACACAUGCAAGUCGAACGGUGAAGCGCCUUCCUUUUUGGUGGGUGUGGAUGAGUGGCGAACGGGUGAGUAACACGUGAGUAACCUGCCCCCUUCUUCUGGAUAACCGCAUGAAAGUGUGGCUAAUACGGGAUAUUCUGGGUCUGUCGCAUGAUGGGUCUGGGAAAGAUAUUGUUUCGGUGGGGGAUGGGCUCGCGGCCUAUCAGCUUGUUGGUGGGGUGAUGGCCUACCGAGGCGGUGACGGGUAGCCGGCCUGAGAGGGUGGACGGUCACACUGGGACUGAGACACGGCCCAGACUCCUACGGGAGGCAGCAGUGGGGAAUAUUGCACAAUGGGCGCAAGCCUGAUGCAGCGACGCCGCGUGAGGGAUGGAGGCCUUCGGGUUGUGAACCUCUUUCGCCAGUGAAGCAGGCCUGCCUCGUUUGUGGGUGGGUUGACAGUAGCUGGAUAAGAAGCGCCGGCUAACUACGUG